GAUGAAGGACGUAGCGAAAUGCGAUAAGUAAUGUGAAUUGCAGAAUUCAGUGAAUCAUCGAAUCUUUGAACGCACAUUGCGCCCAUUAGUAUUCUAGUGGGCAUGCCUGUUCGAGCGUCAUUAAUUCCACUUAAGCCCUGCUUAGUGUUGGGAAUCUACUCUAGUGGUGCUACCCUGGAGCUACCCCUGAAAGGGGGCUGGCCCGGUAGCUACCCUGUAGUUCCUCAAAGAUAGUGCGCGGAGUUGCGUGGUCCUCUGAGCUUAGUAACUAUACACCUAGCUUUUGAGUGUCCCGCGGCGCCUGCCGUUUAAACCCCAUCUUUUAAUGGUUGACCUCGGAUCAGGUAGGAAUACCCGCUGAACUUAAGCAUAUCAAUAAGCGGAGGA
This 387-nucleotide unclassified non-coding RNA is filed under the name soil metagenome. RNAcentral's name for it is "partial contains 5.8S ribosomal RNA, internal transcribed spacer 2, and large subunit ribosomal RNA". The stretch from base 1 to 120 matches the Rfam family "5.8S ribosomal RNA", at positions 35 to 154 of the family's 154-position model. The record is from RNAcentral.